AAGCUUGCUUUCUUAGUGGCGGACGGGUGAGUAACACGUGAGUACCUGCCUCUGAGAGUGGGAUAGCUUCUGGAAACGGAUGGUAAUACCGCAUGAAAUCGCAUGGUUCAAAGAUUUAGCUCAGAGAUGGACUCGCGUCUGAUUAGCUAGUUGGUAAGGUAACGGCUUACUAAGGCGACGAUCAGUAGCCGGACUGAGAGGUUGAUCGGCCACAUUGGGACUGAGACACGGCCCAGACUCCUACGGGAGGCAGCAGUGGGGAAUAUUGCACAAUGGGGGAAACCCUGAUGCAGCGAUGCCGCGUGGAGGAAGAAGGUUUUCGGACUGUAAACUCCUGUUGAAGAGGACGAUAAUGACGGUACUCUUUUAGAAAGCUCCGGCUAACUACGUGCCAGCAGCCGCGGUAAUACGUAGGGAGCGAGCGUUGUCCGGAAUUACUGGGUGUAAAGGGAGCGUAGGCGGGACGGCAAGUCAGAUGUGAAAACUAUGGGCUCAACCCAUAGACUGCAUUUGAAACUGUUGUUCUUGAGUGAGGUAGAGGUAAGCGGAAUUCCUGGUGUAGCGGUGAAAUGCGUAGAGAUCAGGAGGAACAUCGGUGGCGAAGGCGGCUUACUGGGCCUUUACUGACGCUGAGGCUCGAAAGCGUGAGGAGCAAACAGGAU
Molecule: ribosomal RNA, 662 nt
Filed under: uncultured bacterium
Lineage: Bacteria
Description: bacterial SSU rRNA
Rfam family: Bacterial small subunit ribosomal RNA
Source: RNAcentral